AGAGGUUUGGGGAUCCUGGGGCUCAGGACGAACGCUGGCGGCGUGCUUAACACAUGCAAGUCGAACGAUCCCGGGCUUCGGCUCAAUGGGAGAGUGGCGAACGGGUGAGUAUCACGUGAGAAACCUGCCCCGGAGAUGGGAAUAGCCCAAGGAAACUUGGAUUAAUGCCCAAUACCCUGGCUGCACCGCAUGGUGCUACCAGGAAAUGUUCCGACGCUCCGGGAGGGUCUCGCGGCCUAUCAGCUAGUUGGUGAGGUAAUGGCUCACCAAGGCAUCGACGGGUAGCUGGUCUGAGAGGACGAUCAGCCACACUGGGACUGAGACACGGCCCAGACUCCUACGGGAGGCAGCAGUGGGGAAUCUUGCGCAAUGGGCGAAAGCCUGACGCAGCAACGCCGCGUGGGGGAAGAAGGCCUUCGGGUCGUAAACCCCUUUCAGCAGGGACGAAAAUGACGGUACCUGCAGAAGAAGGACCGGCCAACUACGUGCCAGCAGCCGCGGUAAUACGUAGGGUCCAAGCGUUGUCCGGAUUUAUUGGGCGUAAAGAGCUCGUAGGCGGUUUGGUAAGUCGGGUGUGAAAACUCAGGGCUCAACCCUGAGACGCCACUCGAUACUGCCAUGACUAGAGUCCGGNUAGAGGAGUGUGGAAUUCCUGGUGUAGCGGUGAAAUUGCGCAGAUUAUCAGGAGGAACACC
RNAcentral lists this ribosomal RNA (695 nucleotides) under uncultured bacterium. Its description in RNAcentral is "bacterial SSU rRNA". It matches the Rfam family "Bacterial small subunit ribosomal RNA", at positions 1 to 710 of the family's 1533-position model. The record is from RNAcentral.